RNAcentral lists this ribosomal RNA (549 nucleotides) under Triticum aestivum (bread wheat). RNAcentral's name for it is "partial small subunit ribosomal RNA". Lineage: Eukaryota; Viridiplantae; Streptophyta; Magnoliopsida; Poales; Poaceae. The record is from RNAcentral.
UAUCUUGACACUGGAGCAAGCAACCACAUGACAGGCUGUCUGGACAAGUUCGCCGAGCUGGACCGAAAGAUCACCGGUUCAGUUCGAUUCGGAGAUGGAUCAGUUGUGGGCAUUGAGGGACGCGGCUCAGUUCUCUUUGUUGCACACAACGGCGAGCACCGGCUGUUAACUGAAGUUUAUUUCAUCCCGAAGCUGAAAAGUAAUAUAAUCAGUCUAGGGCAGCUGGAUGAAUUUGGUUGCAAGUACUCCGUCGAUGAAGGUUUGAUGACUGUGUUGGAUAAAGAGAGAAAGGUCCUUGCAAAAGUUAGAAGAACACCAAACAGGCUCUACAUACUGAAUAUUGAGCAGUCUGACCCAGUUUGUCUAUUGUCCAAGACUUCAGAGGUUCCCUGGUUGUGGCAUGCACGCUAUGGGCAUAUAAGCUUUCAUGCUUUGAGACUGCUAGCAAAGGAGGCCAUGGUGCGUGGCUUACCAAUGAUUGAUCAGAUUGAUCGUUUGUGUGAGAGCUGCUUGGUUGGCAAACAAAGAAGAGCUCCAUUCCCUGCUGAA